Molecule: ribosomal RNA, 513 nt
Filed under: uncultured bacterium
Lineage: Bacteria
Description: partial 16S ribosomal RNA
Rfam family: Bacterial small subunit ribosomal RNA
Source: RNAcentral
GAUGAACGCUGGCGGCGUGCCUAAUACAUGCAAGUCGAGCGAACAGAUGAGAAGCUUGCUUCUCUGAUGUUAGCGGCGGACGGGUGAGUAACACGUGGGUAACCUACCUAUAAGACUGGGAUAACGCCGGGAAACCGGGGCUAAUACCGGAUAAUAUUUUGAACCGCAUGGUUCAAUAGUGAAUGACGGUUGUGGCUGUCACCUAUAGAUGGACCGGCGCCGUAUUAGCUAGUUGGUAAGGUAACGGCUAGCAAGGCGACGAUACGUAGCCGACCUGAGAGGGUGAUCGGCCACACUGGAACUGAGACACGGUCCAGACUCCUACGGGAGGCAGCAGGAGGGAAUCUUCCGCAAUGGGCGAAAGCCUGACGGAGCAACGCCGCGUGAGUGAUGAAGGUCUUCGGAUCGUAAAACUCUGUUGUUAGGGAAGAACAAAUUUGUUAGUAACUGAACAAGUCUUGACGGUACCUAACCAGAAAGCCACGGCUAACUACGUGCCAGCAGCCGCCGUAA